This 225-nucleotide ribosomal RNA is filed under the name Salmonella enterica. RNAcentral's name for it is "partial 23S ribosomal RNA". It matches the Rfam family "Bacterial large subunit ribosomal RNA", at positions 2706 to 2925 of the family's 2925-position model. Lineage: Bacteria; Pseudomonadati; Pseudomonadota; Gammaproteobacteria; Enterobacterales; Enterobacteriaceae. The record is from RNAcentral.
ACACUGGUGUUCGGGUUGUCAUGCCAAUGGCACUGCCCGGUAGCUAAAUGCGGAAGAGAUAAGUGCUGAAAGCAUCUAAGCACGAAACUUGCCCCGAGAUGAGUUCUCCCUGAGACUUUAGGUCUCCUGAAGGAACGUUGAAGACGACGACGUUGAUAGGCCGGGUGUGUAAGCGCAGCGAUGCGUUGAGCUAACCGGUACUAAUGAACCGUGAGGCUUAACCUU